Long non-coding RNA from Apis cerana (Asiatic honeybee), 449 nucleotides. RefSeq lists it as uncharacterized. The record is from RefSeq and is a predicted model, not a curated record. Lineage: Eukaryota; Metazoa; Arthropoda; Insecta; Hymenoptera; Apidae.
AUUAUUACGAUAUUAAAUAAAUUCAUAAGCAUUAUGAAUUAAUAUUAAUUAUGAAUUAAUUAUGAAUUAUCAUAAAUAAAAUAUACAAAGAAAGGAAAAUCAAGAGAAAAGAAUUAAGAAUUGAUUAUCAGCGCUAUCUCUCUAAUAUUAAAAUUAAUUCUUCACGAUGUUAAAAAAUUAUCUUGUUCAUGAUAUAGGAUUGUUUAUGGUAGGAAAGUCAUUGGUUAUAACAUUCAAAUUCUUAAUAUAAUAAUAACACGAACAUUUAUUUCGUCUAUGUAUUUCGUAUAUACUUUUUGAUGAUCAAAAAAUGGAUAACAAUCUGACAAAAUAUAUUUUGAUACAUAAAACAAAUAUGUUAACGUGACAUUGAAAAUAUGUGACAAUGUACUUAGUUCUUGUAAUAUUUCCGAGAUGUGGAAUAAAUGCAUUAAAUAUUAGUAUUCUUA